This 253-nucleotide ribosomal RNA is filed under the name uncultured bacterium. Its description in RNAcentral is "partial 16S ribosomal RNA". It matches the Rfam family "Bacterial small subunit ribosomal RNA", at positions 524 to 776 of the family's 1533-position model. The record is from RNAcentral.
UACGUAGGAGACGAGCGUUGUCCGGAAUUACUGGGCGUAAAGCGCGCGCAGGCGGUCCUUUAAGUCUGAUGUGAAAGCCCACGGCUCAACCGUGGAGGGUCAUUGGAAACUGGGGGACUUGAGUACAGAAGAGAAGAGUGGAAUUCCACGUGUAGCGGUGAAAUGCGUAGAGAUGUGGAGGAACACCAGUGGCGAAGGCGACUCUUUGGUCUGUAACUGACGCUGAGGCGCGAAAGCGUGGGGAGCAAACAGG